GAUGAACGCUGGCGGCGUGCCUAACACAUGCAAGUCGAACGAAGCUUGACGGAUGAUUUCUUCGGAAUGAAACCAGAUAUGACUUAGUGGCGGACGGGUGAGUAACACGUGAGCAACCUGCCUUUCAGAGGGGGAUAACGGCUGGAAACGGUCGCUAAUACCGCAUGAAGUGUUCGGAUGGCAUCAUCUGAACAUCAAAGAUUUAUCGCUGAAAGAUGGGCUCGCGUCUGAUUAGAUAGUUGGUGGGGUAACGGCCUACCAAGUCUACGAUCAGUAGCCGGACUGAGAGGUUGAACGGCCACAUUGGGACUGAGAUACGGCCCAGACUCCUACGGGAGGCAGCAGUGGGGAAUAUUGCACAAUGGGGGAAACCCUGAUGCAGCAACGCCGCGUGAAGGAUGACGGUUUUCGGAUUGUAAACUUCUUUUCUUAGUGACGAAGACAGUGACGGUAGCUAAGGAAUAAGCAUCGGCUAACUACGUGC
Molecule: ribosomal RNA, 484 nt
Filed under: uncultured bacterium
Lineage: Bacteria
Description: bacterial SSU rRNA
Rfam family: Bacterial small subunit ribosomal RNA
Source: RNAcentral